Molecule: small nuclear RNA, 258 nt
Filed under: Peromyscus maniculatus bairdii (prairie deer mouse)
Lineage: Eukaryota; Metazoa; Chordata; Mammalia; Rodentia; Cricetidae
Description: 7SK RNA (ENSPEMG00000004059.2)
Rfam family: 7SK RNA
About the family: 7SK was discovered as an abundant small nuclear RNA in the mid-70s but a possible function has only recently been suggested. Two independent studies have found that 7SK RNA binds the CDK9/cyclin T complex (known as elongation factor P-TEFb). P-TEFb activates transcription by phosphorylating the C-terminal domain of RNA polymerase II.
Source: Rfam by way of RNAcentral
GUAAGAAUGUCUUUGCUAUCUGUCACCCUGUUAACCAGCAGGAUUCAUUUGGCUGGUCUGGCUGGCUAGGCAGCUGUCCAUCACCCACUGCAUGGGUGUCCCUAAUAUAGCAGGACUGUUCUUCCGCCAACGUUAUUUGAAUAGCUGCUCUUUCCUGCUAGAACCUCAAACAAGCCCUUACAAAGAGGUAAAUAGAGAAGCAAAUAUAAUAUGAAGAGACAGACAGUAAGUACAGGCCUAUGAAUGUGGCUUUCUUCU